Molecule: long non-coding RNA, 539 nt
Organism: Humulus lupulus (European hop)
Lineage: Eukaryota; Viridiplantae; Streptophyta; Magnoliopsida; Rosales; Cannabaceae
Exons: 3
Source: RefSeq, a predicted model, not a curated record
GUCAAUGAGAACUUCCUCCCUCUGCUCAAACGCCUUGAUGACUGCAUAGUGUAUGUAGAAAACAAUCCACAGUAUGCUGAAUCCGGCGUUUACUUACUCAAAUUUCGACAACUGCAGUCUCGAGCAUUGGGUAUGAUUCGCUCUCAUGUACUUUCUGUACUCAAAAGUGCGUCUUCUCAGGUAAAAUAAUGUAGGGGUUGAAUUAAUGCGCUCCAUUGUUUUGUGUUGUUUUGUUGGGUUGGUAGACCUCUGUUUCUGUCUCCUUUUGGUCUUAAAUCAAGUGCUCUGUUUGUUACCUAAAAAAGAGAACGUUCUGGUUCUAUAUGGUUAUUGUUUCUUCAUCAGGUUCAAUCAGCAAUUCGGAGCAAUAGUAGCAGCAAGGCAUCUCUUGCUGAGGGUGUAGAGGCAUCUGUUAUAUUGGCCAGGCUUUCAGAAAUGGGAACAAGCUUCCUUUUGCUGCUGCUCAAAUUGGCCAGGCUUUCAGAAAUAAGGUUCUUGGAUAUAUUUUUCAUCAGUCACAUAUGUAUCUUUUCAGUCAU